Molecule: long non-coding RNA, 666 nt
Filed under: Lupinus mutabilis
Lineage: Eukaryota; Viridiplantae; Streptophyta; Magnoliopsida; Fabales; Fabaceae
Description: partial ncRNA
Source: RNAcentral
CCCAGUUCGUAUUCUCCUUCCAAAUAUGAAAGCGAAAGAAGCCCCUCUUCCACUAAAUGGUAUCCAGCUCGGAAAUGCUAAACUACAUCAUCCCUCUUCAAGGUCAGAGACAUGUUCACCCACAUCUACUUACCUGCUCCUCAUAUUGAACCAAGCUACAGGUUACCCAAAACAUCCAGAAGAAGACUUUAAGAGAAUUGGGAACCUUCUAUUACACACAAAAAAUGUCAUAAGCCCGAAAAAAAACCUCAGCGUCCUAGUGAGUUUGGGAAGGGGUCACCCGAAGGUGCUGUGGGACUAAAAUACAUCAACCAUCCAGGGAAAAAUGGAGCUCGAAGUCUUUGCAAAAAAGACUUCACACAGGUAAAACGAGAAUUUAACUCUUCAUUCCACCUAAGGAUUGAAGAAAAUCCUUUUGUCCCUCCGCGAAGCUUGCAAACUAAAAUGACUAGGAAGUCUGCCAAAGUCAUCCAAGUCUAAACGACCUGCACUAGAAAAGGAACUAUUUAUCCCAACAUCUCGUGAUUGGCCCAACAAUAAGUGGAAUUGUCCCCUUCAUAACCAGUGAGUGUCAUGUUUAAAAUACGAAGUUAGAGGCCAUCUUAAAGACUACAACAACUACCCCACUACAAAUAAAUAAGGUGAAGAUGAAAAAGAAAGGAAGUG